This is a long non-coding RNA of Eubalaena glacialis (North Atlantic right whale), 1807 nucleotides long. RefSeq lists it as uncharacterized. The transcript is spliced from 3 exons. The record is from RefSeq and is a predicted model, not a curated record. NCBI's taxonomy places the organism in Eukaryota, Metazoa, Chordata, Mammalia, Artiodactyla, Balaenidae.
CCAACCCGGGGCUGGAAUAUCCCUGGGUCUCCUUUCCUGGCUUUCUCGGAAGAGCCUUCGCUUGCGAUAGUGGGUAACUCCCUCCUUGCCUUUUGGGGAAGGGAAUUAACGUUAGCGUUUCCUGUGCGCAGGUACCAUGCCCAACAUAUUACACGUUCAACGUAUUUAUUUUUUGCCACCAUGUGUGAAAUGAUGAUUAUCAUCCUGGUUCUACUGAUGAGGAAAAUCUCAGAGGGUACUUGCUAGUAAGGAGAAGAACAAAGAUUUUGUCCAACUGAAGAAAACGUACAACCUAAAAGUUGCGAGUUGAGUUUUUUUCCAGGACCAUACUGAGGACUAUCCUCUCAGCUCUGAGGAACUGCUCCAAAGAGUGCAGGGAAAAGGCGUCUCAUCAGAGUGGAUGCGCCCUUGGCUGAGCAGGAGGGAGGAGUAGAAGCAGAUGCCAACUGCAGGGAGAACGUUUCUCGCCUGUGUGUGCGCGGCUGUAAAUGGCCAAGGAAGCCUCUGGCGGAAGCACCGCCCCCAGUCACAACACCAGCAGGACUUCUUUCCCGUGUGGAUUCUGGGCGCCUCGCCCCCUCCCCAGGAUCCUCCGCCUCCCGGCUCCAUACCUCCUUCCUUCUCUCCAUCCAGGAGAUGAAGGCAGGGUUGGGGACUACAGAAACUAGGGGAGAAGAGGCCAACAGCGGACAGGGUAACAGGAUGGAGCCUAGAGAAGAUGCUUCCUCUGCAGGGGUGGGGUACGGCCCCUGAACCCUAUGAACCCUCAAAGAGAAGACCCUCCCCAACAAUAGACACACACUCAGGCGUGUCCGGACCGAAGCCGAAUGGUCCCCGUGUCGUAACAAGGGAGAAAAGGGGAGGGCCGGGCCUCUGAUCGCGCCCAAGUAGCCGGGGGUCAACCGCAUCACGUCUGUACCGCGAGCCCUCUGCAAAGCACCAGGUCCAUGAACUCUUCGCCCUGAAGUGUCAUGGCGCUGCUGAGCUUCACGCCCUUUUCCCUCCCGCGCACUGUGAUUGGGUGACGUGCGGCAGAGGGCAAAGAGCCAGCGUCCUGAUUGGGUCUGAGAGAAUCGUUCCGGUUGCAAGGAAGCUGAUAGUAGCAUGAGGGCAGGCCUUCUUCCUAGAGCUCCAGCCAGCUACUGUUCAGCACCUGCUGCGAGCCAGGCGCCGUGCUGCGGACACUUGCCAAGGGACAACGGCGCAGCCCUGCUGCCCAAGAGCUCACAGCACAGGCUUCCUCCUGACCCCGCACUUGGCCCCGCUCUCCCCAGAGCCUCGUCUGCGUUGCUCUGGGGCUCCCUGCCUCCUCUACACCCAGACUUGGACGACGAUCAAACAUUUAUUGAGCGCCUACUGCGUUGAACAGAGUUAUAGGCGCUGGAUAGAGGGCAGGGAGCUACUCAACGUGUCCUCAGCCGUGGAGGUUACAUUCCUCUCCACAGCCUUCCAGAUGCUCAGGUCUCCACUGGACUUGACUCAAGGUUUAGUCCUGGAGCACCUGAGGCUCUCCACGUCUGAAGCGAUUUAACAUGACAUCUCCAAACAUAAUGCUUGGGACCGGAAAGAGGUGGCUCUAAGGGUGCCUGCUCCCAGUGGUGCUUACAACCUACUGAGGGAGACACACAAAUACACAAAGGUCUGGCUGCCUAAGCCACAGUGGUAGCACUGACAGACUCCAGGGAAUUAUGAGACAGUCUCCCAACUCCGAGUUGAGCACAGAAAGAAAUAAGCAUUGUGAGUCACUUAAGGGGAAAAAAAGGUAAUAAUAGCUUCCAACUCACUGAAACAUGUAAAAGUAAUAGAA